RNAcentral lists this ribosomal RNA (654 nucleotides) under uncultured archaeon. Its description in RNAcentral is "bacterial SSU rRNA". It matches the Rfam family "Archaeal small subunit ribosomal RNA", at positions 508 to 1160 of the family's 1478-position model. The record is from RNAcentral.
GCCUAAAGCGUCCGUAGCCGGCUCUGUAAGUUUUCGGUUAAAUCCAUAUGCUCAACAUAUGGGCCGCCGGGAAUACUGCAUAGCUAGGGAGUGGGAGAGGUAGACGGUACUCCGUAGGAAGGGGUAAAAUCCUUUGAUCUAUGGAUGACCACCUGUGGCGAAGGCGGUCUACCAGAACACGUUCGACGGUGAGGGAUGAAAGCUGGGGGAGCAAACCGGAUUAGAUACCCGGGUAGUCCCAGCUGUAAACUAUGCAAACUCAGUGAUGCAUUGGCUUGUGGCCAGUGCAGUGCCGCAGAGAAGUCGUUAAGUUUGCCGCCUGGGAAGUACGUACGCAAGUAUGAAACUUAAAGGAAUUGGCGGGGGAGCACCACAAGGGGUGAAGCCUGCGGUUUAAUUGGAGUCAACGCCAGAAAUCUUACCCGGAGAGACAGCAGGAUGAAGGUCAAGCUGAAGACUUUACCAGACAAGCUGAGAAGUGGUGCAUGGCCGUCGCCAGCUCGUGCCGUGAGGUGUCCUGUUAGGUCAGGUAACGAGCGAGAUCCUUGCCUCUAGUUGCCACCAUUACUCUCAGGAGUAGUGGGGCGAAUUAGCGGGACUGCCGUAGUUAAUACGGAGGAAGGAGAGGGCCACGGCAGGUCAGUAUGCCCCGAA